CCUACGGGUGGCAGCAGUGAGGAAUAUUGGUCAAUGGUCGGGAGACUGAACCAGCCAAGCCGCGUGAGGGAUGAAGGUACAGCGUAUCGUAAACCUCUUUUGUCAGGGAACAAAGGCGGGGACGUGUCCCCGGCUGCGUGUACCUGAAGAACAAGCAUCGGCUAACUCCGUGCCAGCAGCCGCGGUACUACGGAGGAUGCGAGCGUUAUCCGGAUUUAUUGGGUUUAAAGGGUGCGCAGUCGGUCUGUUAAGUCAGCGGUAAAAGCCCGGGGCUCAACCCCGGCCCGCCGUUGAAACUGGCAGUCUCGAGUGGGAGAGAAGUAGGCGGAAUGCGCGGUGUAGCGGUGAAAUGCAUAGAUAUCGCGCAGAACUCCGAUUGCGAAGGCAGCAUGCCGGCUCCACACUGACGCUGAGGCACGAAAGCGUGGGUAUCGAACAGGAUUAGAUACCCUUGUAGUC
Molecule: ribosomal RNA, 459 nt
Filed under: uncultured bacterium
Lineage: Bacteria
Description: partial 16S ribosomal RNA
Rfam family: Bacterial small subunit ribosomal RNA
Source: RNAcentral